This is a non-coding RNA of Taeniopygia guttata (zebra finch), 3193 nucleotides long. The record is from RefSeq and is a predicted model, not a curated record. NCBI's taxonomy places the organism in Eukaryota, Metazoa, Chordata, Aves, Passeriformes, Estrildidae.
CUAAAUACAUGAAAUUGCUAUCAUAGCUUCUGUUAAAUGGAGGGAACAUUUAAUUUUACUUAAAGACUGAACCCUGGAAAUGCCCUGAGAAAAGCCACAUGGGUAUAGGGCCAGAGCAAGAGCUCAGCUGAGGAUGGAGAGACUGUAACAGCCUGGGAACAGGGAGCAUGUCCUUUCCAUCUGACAUGUCUGAGAGCAGAACUUUGCUAAUUCAGAUUAACGACUGGGAGAUCUACUGCAAAUUACUCUAUUUUGUGGAGGAAGAACAAUGAUGACAUCCCAAUCAGUCUAACUUAACAAAUGUAAGUUACAAUGACAAGACAACCUGCUUCAGUCAGCUCAUACCAAGCCCAAUUGAAGGGAGGCCAAUGGCUCUUAAUCAUUUGUCAGAGGGUGCAGAACUUAUCAGUUAAUUUUAGAUAGAAGAAACUGAAAAAGAAACAUCUGGAUAAAACCUAAUUGAAAAUCUAGCCAUGCACAUUUGGCACAAAAUUAUUUAAGCAAAAUAUGCUUCUUGUGAAAGGAUACUCAAUUAAAUAUUGAAAUAUUUGUGCCCUACUUUAGUGCAGUUUCUGUGGAACAACUGUUUGAACAAGAGAAACAAAUUUUAUUUGUAGUUUGGAAGUGUUGAGUAGGAUGUCAAGACAAGAUCUAGUGAGGCAAUGUUUACAAAGAUAGGGUUUUUCUAAUAAGUUGAAACCUUUCUCAAAGGCAGAAAAAUCAUCUUUUAUCAGAAAUAAAUUUUCUGGAGAGCAUCUGUAGAAGUGUAUAAAAGUCUAAUAAAUUAGGUUCAAGUCAUCUUUUUCAGAGAGCAACUCUGGAGAUCACAGUUCAGUGUGGCUGAAAUUCUAGAACACUUACGAUCUUCCAGGAUUUCCUUUAGUGAAACUUCCAAACAUUCUAUAACACACAAAAGGUUUGGAGGAGAAAAUCUUUCUAAGUUAUAGCUAUAUAGCUGGUUAUAUAGCAAAAUGCAAUCCUUGCACUGGAGGAAGAAGCAAGACGGACACUUCCAGCUCCCUGUUUGCAGAGAAGAAAGCGAUUCCCAAGUUCUGCCAGCCGCGCAUCAAUUGUGGGAAUUGCACGGCCUGAGCGGAACACGCACAUCACCUCCCUCUCCUGGCCCUGCAGCCUCUGCCCUCGGCUGUCUCCUUUCAUUAACUGCUUCUCUGCCUUGCAGAGCAGCACCAGGUGGGCUGACUUCUAUGGCAGGAGCAAUAUUCUUGGCAGACUUACGGCCUUUACCCAGCGGAACCAAUGGACAAUGAGUCGAGCUGAGCCUUUUUAUUGACUGAGUUUCCAUUACCUUCACAGGCUUUCUUUCCUAGCUUGUUCUUUUAUCUUAUUAUGGGCAGAACCUACAUUUACUGGACAAUAGCUUCCACAUUGGUCUCUUUUCAUUUCCCAGAAGAUAUAACUACUACACUUUUAAAAAUUACUCUCAAGGCCUGUUCUUAACCCUCUUUACAAAAAACUAUUUGUUAAUUCGGUAAAUGCACCAUGUAACUGUCUUUAUACCAUAGCAUUUACACCUACACACCUAAAGGGACUCUAUUUCAAAUAUUCCAUGUGUUUCCUACAAAGCUACAGUAGUCUUACAAAUUUUUAGACAUUUUCUAGUUGCUUUUACAGGAUUUGUUAAAAUUGCCUUUAGAAAUAGUUUAGGAACUAAGUUAUAAAAUUACGAUUAAUUUUAUUUCCUCCUUAUUUAGGAACACAUCCUCUGUGAAAAACAUUACAGUUUUCCAUUAUAAAUGAAAGGUAAUGAUGUGAAUAAUGGUAUUCAAGUCACAUCAUCUCCAGUUUUUAUAUCAUGAUGCAAACUGACCUCAUAAUUUUGUCAUCUUCUGUAUUUACAGCCCAAUAAUGCUUUUCUGGCAGUUCGCAAGGAUUACUGAAUUUAUGAGGCACUUGCAAGUCAGGUGUUUUAUGAAUACCACCUGCAUUUCUCGAAAAUGAUUUCUAGGGAAAUUUAAGUCUACUGUGUGUACUGGAUUAAAAUAGCAUAAGAACUAAAAAAUAAAUUAUAAUAUUUUGUUUUAAAUUUUAUUAUAUGGAAAUACAAGUUUUCAUUGUUGAUCAUAUUAACUUGAUAUGAUGAAACACUUUCUUUUUACAGAUAAUGGUGUUUGUUUUUCCAGUAUAUAAAGUUUACCAGUACCAAAUUGCUUUAGCACAUGCAUAAAAAUAACUUAAUAAAACUUGACUUAACCAACAUAUGGGCAAAAAGAACACAAAAAAAUGUAGCUUGCACUAAAAUAUAGGCAAUUAUAAUGUCAUCAGAACUAUAAAAUCAAUUUUGGAAUAAAGAGUCCAAAGUUCUGUCUUAAGGUACCUCCUGUUGUACUCUGUGGACUGUAGUCAAUUAUCUCUGUCCACUUCAUCCAUUCAACAGCUCAUAAGGAGAUGGUUCUUUAGACAACCAUCACCCACAAGGCAGAGAGGUCUUCCAGACAAACAUAAGUACCUUGAUUUACAUGUGAAGGGGAACAGGAAUCCAGGAUUAUUCUUUUAACUCCAGUAAUAUAUUGGAAAGAUAUGGCUAUGUCUUGCAAUAACUGAUGCAUCUGGGUGAACGUGCACAGAAAGUUUCAGAUUGUUCACUUCAUAAAAUCUAAUCAGAAGAUUUUGAAUCCAUAAAAAUAUGGAUAGCAAGUGAGAAAAGUGGCUGAAAACAUCUGUGUGAGGAGAAACACAUUAUCUGACUGACAGUGAACUCUCAGAGAACAUUUCAGACUGUUGGUAAAAUAUAAAGAAGUUGCAACUGAAACGUCCUCUCCUCCCAUCCCUGUCCCCCAACACACAUAACAUCAUCCAGUUAAAACUUGGACAAGCAAAAUCCACGUUAAUGACACCAAGUGAAAGUGAAAUAGGACUGCUUUUAAAAAUUAGUACACCUCUUGUUCAGGCAGUUAAAAAAUUGACAAAGUGAUGUUCAGGUUUCACAGGUACAAAGCAGGUCUGAAACUGGACAAUUAAUCUUGAUUGUCUGAACAGUCUCAAUGUGAUUAAUUUUCCUUAGCCACCUUCUCCCCUUGUCAUCUCACCUUACAUUAAAUUCACAGGGAUUUUGUUCCCGAUUCCAAACAAAACAGAUCAAGCUAAAAAUCUGACACACAAAAUAUGCUGUAGACAGGAUCCAUUUGCUCUAUCCCAGAGUGUUGUAACUCCCUCUCCUAACUGGGCUAUCUAU